UUUUGUUGCUGCGUUCCCCUAACAAUCGCUUAUAAUUUGUCCAAGCAGAAUUGCCGUACAACUUGUGUCGCAGCGCUAGUUCCGUAUACAUUGAAAUUCAAAUUUUCCCCAAAAACAUCGCGAUGGAGUCCGUUUUCUUGAGGUUCGACUCGUAUGAUUUUGAAGCUGAUAGAAGGUUCCAACAAGGCUUGCACACAUUACACUCUGGCGUCUCUAGGAAAGAAACGAACAUACUCGAUGCAAAACUCUUCUUUUAUAACAGGUUUGUGGAGCCCAUGGACUCCAUCAGUUACAAAGCGUGGUCCAACUCUGCUUCCAGAGUGGUGCCUCCAUCAUGCGGCGAUUCUGAAGGACAGACGACCGAGAAGUCUGAGGCGUCACAAGUCAAGUCGCUUUCCUUCGCUGAGGUGAUGCAACUCGUGCAGGAGGGCAAGGACGUGCCCGGAGUUACAAAAGUGGACAUACAGGCAAGCAAUCAGAAUGCGACUCCAUCACAAAUGGAAAGAAUACGCAAACCCUGGGAAGUGGCGUCAGUGCCCAGGUAACAAGUCACCCAAGAAGUCACCUUUUCGUUUUUAUUAGAAGCCCUUGUUUCAUAAAUGUGAAAAAGCAUAUAACCGAUUGUUCUGAAUUUGAAUGGGUUUAAGUUGGACAGGGCUUCAUUUUGAGAAGAGGAACAGGAGCUAAAAUUCUGAUCUUGCAAAAAUGAACAAGAUUUGACGUCUUCGUUGGAAUGGGACAGCAAAUGCUUUGGCCCUGGCCUGUUGCAUUAGUUGCCCACCCUUUUUUUUGGAUCAUCAUCUUAUGAACUACACCCAAGCAUGGACUCAACAUCUUUUUCAUUGAUCAGCUCAGUGGAAGAGUUUCCCAAGCCCUUGGUGAGCCAGGACAUAUUUUGCAUUAGAGGAGAAUCCCGCGGCGCACCAAGAAACCACAAUGGAUCGGAAAUGUCUCUUCUCCCUCUGCUAAUGAAUUGGCUUGCUUAGUUUGAAAUGAAAUGUGAAAUGUUCAGUCAAACACGUUUUCUGUUGUGUGAUGCCAAUAGUCAAAACAUUAUGCACAUUCGUUGUUUCUUCUCCCAUCCAGUGGAAGAGCAAUGAAUUGUUCCGCUUGUUAUAAUACUCUAAAUUGCUGGCAUAAAUCGAUGAACAAAGGUACAUUUGAAUAUCCAUCCAUCCAUGAUGCGAACUGCUCAUCUUUACAAGGGUUGCGGUUGUGCUGAGCUUAUAGGCGAUUGAAAGGGAUUGGUGCAUUUAAAAAACUACUCUUCAUGUGAUGGGAUUGUUGUUGUUACACAAAUUUCAUUUAUGUGGGCUCAGCUUAACCAUCUGCACAGAUCAAAAGAUGACAAAGUCUGGAACUGUUAGAAUAGCGCUCGAGGUAAAAUGAAUGAAUAAAUCCCGUUUGUAACUACGAGGCUCGUAUUGAUGCACAACAGGACAAUAAAUGUGUCACAGUAAGUUCUUCUUUAUGAAGGCAGCAACAUUUUGUAAACUUCCAGUCACAGUGGAAUGCUUCAAAUAAAGCAACGAUCAAUCCAGUAACGUGGAGGCACACUAGACGGACUUUCUGACAGUGGGAUAAUUCAUACAUUGAAAAAUAUGUCAAAUCAACACAUACAUCACAAACAUCAAGAUUAAAAGAAACUUAAUAAGUGGAUUUGCACUCAAAAAAAUCUAGCACCAGUAUAUUGCAUUUUCAUCAUCAUCAUUAUCAUCAUCACGCUCACAAUGACUAAUACAACAUCCAUGUUGGCUAACGGCAGUUUGUCUGGAAAAAAAAAAAAAAACAAAGCGACAUUUCUUCUAUUUAUGACAUUCAUAAAAACUGUAAAAAUAAGAGUAAUGGAAGAACUGAGGUAGAGAACAGUGGCCUGUGUCAGGAAGCAAGUCCUGUUUUGUUGAGACAAAAAAGGGACGUUCAACACGAUACCUUAAUAUGACAAAUAAAGAUACAGUAUAUUUUCUCAGAAAUCCCCUUUUGAGGCAGCCUAAAAAUACUUGCUGAUGAGGAUGCAGGCCAGCUGUGCUGUUGCUGACAUAAUACAGUAGAUUGUAGCACCAUAUAAAUGGGAAUUUGAAAUUGAACAACCACAAAAAAAAUCACUUUUUCAUAUUUGUUAACGAUAAUGAUUUAACAUUUCUGCAUGAAGUGGAAAACUCAUUUUGUGUUAAAUUUGAUCCAUGGUCAUGCUUGUAUCUCAGAUCAUCUUUCCCCAUUGAAAAGAAUGGAAAUACUUACAAUCAACCCAUUCAAGCCCUUCCCGGAAAAAAAAAAAGUUUAAUGUGUUUACUCAUUCAACCCCCCCCCCCCCA
Long non-coding RNA from Hippocampus zosterae (dwarf seahorse), 2315 nucleotides. RefSeq lists it as uncharacterized. The transcript has 2 exons. Lineage: Eukaryota; Metazoa; Chordata; Actinopteri; Syngnathiformes; Syngnathidae. The record is from RefSeq and is a predicted model, not a curated record.